GAAUAAGAAAUAAAAGUAACAAGUAAUUAAAGAGCAGAAAUAAAAUAACAAUAGAGACUAUAUACAGGGUAUUACAGUACAGAGUCAAUGUGGAGGCCAUAUACAGGGUAUUACAGUACAGAGUCAAUGUGGAGGCCAUAUCUUGGGGGUACCGGUACAGAGUCAAUGUGGAGGCUAUAUACAGGGGGUACCGGUACAGAGUCAGUGUGGAGGCUAUAUACAGGGUAUUACGGUACAGAGUCAAUGUGGAGGCUGUAUACAGGGUAUUACGGUACAGAGUCAAUGUGGAGGCUAUAUACAGGGUAUUACGGUACAGAGUCAAUGUGGAGGCUAUAUACAGGGGGGUACUGGUACAGAGUCAAUGUGGAGGCUAUAUACAGGGGGUACCGGUACAGAGUCAAUGUGGAGGCUAUAUACAGGGUAUUACGGUACAGAGUCAAUGUGGAGGCUAUAUACAGGGGGGUACCAGUACAGAGUCAAUGUGGAGGCUAUAUACAGGGGGUACCGGUACAGAGUCAAUGUGGAGGCUAUAUACAGGGGGGUACCGGUACAGAGUCAAUGUGGAG
This 566-nucleotide long non-coding RNA is filed under the name Salmo salar (Atlantic salmon). RNAcentral's name for it is "lncRNA (ENSSSAG00000085741.1)". The record is from RNAcentral. Lineage: Eukaryota; Metazoa; Chordata; Actinopteri; Salmoniformes; Salmonidae.